Molecule: ribosomal RNA, 497 nt
Filed under: uncultured bacterium
Lineage: Bacteria
Description: partial 16S ribosomal RNA
Rfam family: Bacterial small subunit ribosomal RNA
Source: RNAcentral
GAUGAACGCUGGCGGCGUGCCUAACACAUGCAAGUCGAACGGAAAGACCCGAAGUUUGCGUGGCGGAUGUUAGCGGCGGGGGGGAGAGUCACGUGUGUAUAACCUACCUGUCAGACGGGGAUAAUUUCGGAAAACCGGAUCUUAUACCGGAGGAUAUCUUGCACCGCAGUGGGCAAAGGUGAAAUUCGGUCGUUGUGUCAGUUAUAGCUGGAUACUGGCUGGAUUAGCUUGUUGUGAAGGUAAAGGCGUUCCAUGGCAAGGAGGCAUAGCCGACCUCAGGGGGUGGUCGGACACCCGGGAACUGAGACAGGGUCCAGACUCCUGGGGUAGGCAGCAGUAGGGAAUCUUCCGCAAUGGGGGAGAGCCUGACGGAGGAAAGCGGGGUGAGGUAUGAAGGUGCUCGGAUCGGAAAGCUCUGUUAUUAGUGAAGAACAUAUGUGUAAGUAACUGUGAAGAUAUUGACGGUACCGGGUCAGAAAGCCCCGGCUAACUACGUG